AAUUUUAUUUAAUUUUUUUUUUUUUUUUUUUUUUUUUAACUAGUAAGCCCAGUCAAGCAGAGGAAGAGGAUGAAUCCCAAAAGGUCAUCAGCAAAGCCACUAUGGAGAAUACAGGUAAUAAGUCAUGAACCUAUAUUAUAUGUACUGAUCCAAAUAUUAAUUAUUCAUAUCUAAUUUUGAGCCUGUUUUGCUGAAAAUGUCUUAACCACAGCAUGAAAACCUGAAAUGCAUUAAGCAGGAAGGCACUCUCCUUCAGCUGGUGGGGGUAAAACCUCUCAUCUUCAAUAAUGAAUUUUGGCACAAUUAGUAUGCCAUUUCAAUUAUACAAUUGUAACAAUGGCUGGAGAGGACUCCUGGACUGGAAAAGGAUGGAUUUAAUUUCUGGGGAAUACUGCAAGCCAACAUCGAAGAAGGUCUCAAGAUGGAGAAACACAAACUUGAAGUUCGUUUUGCUUUCUUUUCCAAUCACAAUCAUUUUUUCCAUUCCAUUUUCUCAGAAAUGCUGCUAUGCUCAAGGUUUACUCACUGCUUUGACUUACAGAAAACGGAAGAUUCUGAGGCGAAGGAGUCUCAAACAGGAGAACAAACAGACUGAGGUCUUCACCGCCCUGUUUGAUCCAAAACACCAUGAGCAUCUUUUCAGCAAAGUAUGCUUCCCUCUCGCACAUAACAAUCAAGAAUCCUGAUGUCAUUUACCUCGAUGAAGGCCGAACGAACCAGCGCAGCUGUCAGAUUCUUCGCAGAUUUACAGUAAGCCUCCACCAUUAAAUCCUGAUUAUUACCAGAUGUUUUCCCCCCUUUUUCCUCCCAGUCUUAGGGUACAAAAUGAUUUUUUUCUAGUUCUUUCUUUCAUGGAAGAAAAAAGCUAAGAGAAUGAGAUCAGUGGAAAAAGCUUGCUGAGCUCUGGCCAAACAUUAGACUCCUGUAAAUAGAAUUUUCAAGGAGAAAUGAAUCCCUUCUUUUGGGGGAAAAACACACCCAUUCCCCUUCAGUUGCCACCAGGCAACUAUUUUGAUCCAAAACAUACAGUAAACAUCCCAUUUCACACUUUCACCCUCCCUCUCUGAAGCAUAAUCAUGAUAUUACCACAUUUUUUGCACAUACAGUAGUAUCUUAUAAUACCUUGUAAACAUUAUUUAGUACCAUGGUACCACCACAGUACUUUUUUUUGUAAAGAGCCAUGACUAGGUUUGCCCAAAGACCACCCUGAUCUCCCUUAUGUGACGUUCCAGCUCAUGCAGUGUUCAUUACAGACGAGAGAGGAAAAAAAUAUUCCUCUGCUGUUUUCCCUCCUCUAUUUUAGCAACACUGCUAGAUGUACAAUGAAUGUAGUGUCUUCCCUUUACCGACUUUACACUCACUCUUUCCCAGUUUUAAAACAUAGCUGCUCUUGCUGGGACUCUUUCAAAGCGGUUAGAUGUUUUCCCAUCCUCUCACAUGCACAAAUGAAUUAUGACGUCGUUCUUCACUCACAAUGUUGUAAUUAUUAUUUUCCAGAGUGCCAUCUUGAAUUUACUGUAUAGUGCUAGUGGGAGACAUUAACCCAGACACAAAGCAUCAUUCAUUAACUCCAGAUAUUAGCCAUACUGUUCCACUCCUGUCAUUGUUCUGGAAAAAUAUAUGAACACAAAGGUAUAGCUCAUCAUUUAUCUUAAUCGAUGACAUCAUUUGGUGUGUUGAUUACAUCAGCUUCAUGUCAUAGAUCUCAAACCAGAAGUUUGAUACCCCAUCCCACCCAAUAUUCAGAUUAGUGGUCAACCAAUUAUGUUUUUUAGUUGUUUAAGUAAUACAUGUGUAAUAGCCUUGUUUACUUCAUUAAUAGCCAGAUGAAAUUAUAGGCCAGUUAUUCUAUGACUUUUUUUAAUUCUGUUAAAAUGUGUAUGUAUAUUGCUUUGUGCCAUCUAAAGUUGAAUUACAUUUUUAUUUGUUAUUAUUAUUUUUUAUAUAUUUGGGGAUAUUAUGCAUUCAGAAUGGGUAACAUUGUUGACUGUUAAUGCUGACAUUCACAUAGAUAAGUAUCUCUAUGGAUAUUCAUAAGUAUCCAUUUAUCAAUUAUGUUUAUUUUCAAAUACACUACCAUUCAAAAGUCUGGGCUCCGUAAUUUUUUCCCCCUCAAGGCUUUUAUUUCAUUAAACAUUCGUUAAAAAACAGUACUGUGAAAUAUUUGAUGCAAUUUAAAAUAAAAGAUGUUUUGACGCGCA
Molecule: long non-coding RNA, 2201 nt
Organism: Cyprinus carpio (common carp)
Lineage: Eukaryota; Metazoa; Chordata; Actinopteri; Cypriniformes; Cyprinidae
Source: Ensembl